Molecule: long non-coding RNA, 289 nt
Filed under: Elaeis guineensis (African oil palm)
Lineage: Eukaryota; Viridiplantae; Streptophyta; Magnoliopsida; Arecales; Arecaceae
Description: long non-coding RNA (EGUI_LNC071626)
Source: RNAcentral
ACUAGCAUACUGUGCUAAUUUCCUGAAGCAGGACUUCUGAUCGAGAUUUGUGGGCUCGUGUGGACGACUCCUAGAGGCCGGACGCAUGUGCGGCUUGCAACAUCAUCCUUAUACCCGGAUCAGCAAGGUUAGAGCAUCUAACUUGCAAGGUAAUAGAUCUGAUCUAUUGUUUAAUACAUACAUUAGAUGUGGUAUAGAAACAUGUUGAUAUGAUCAACAUGUAGUUCAUGCUAUAUUUAUAUAUUUUAAUUUCUGAUUAAAUGCUAUGUAAUAAUCAUGUAAUAGGAUC